UAGAUAGCAAGACUUGGGGUAUAAGUUAACGUGUUAUGAGAUAAGUAUGGAAUAGAUAUAGGAUUAGACAAGAUCUCGUGUGUUGAGAUUCUCUUGUUACGUUUCGAGUAUAUAUGUAAAGCUUACGAUCUGAGUAAUACAACACACAUUCUCAACAUAUUCUUCCUCAGUUUACAUGGUAUCAGAGCCAUACUAGGAGAUCCAUUGGAAGAAAACGUUGAGAGAAAUAAAUCAUGUCAAAAGAAGUAAUCAAAGUCGAAAGUGGUGGUAGCAGUAACGAUCGCAUGUCUCCAUACUUUCUCUCGCACUCUGAUAAUCCAGGUGUGUCCAUCUCUCCAGUCUUC
Molecule: long non-coding RNA, 344 nt
Filed under: Brassica napus (rape)
Lineage: Eukaryota; Viridiplantae; Streptophyta; Magnoliopsida; Brassicales; Brassicaceae
Description: long non-coding RNA (BNAP_LNC016210)
Source: RNAcentral